UUUUAAAGGUGACUGCGUGCCUAUUGAAGAAUGAGCCUGCGAGUUAAUUUAAAUAGCAUGGUUAAAGGAUAAAAGUUCUGGAGCCGUAGCGAAAGCGAGUCUGAAUAGGGCGAAUUUGUUGUUUGGAUUAGACCCGAAACCGGGUGAGCUACCCAUGGCCAGGUUGAAGCCAAGAUAAUAUCUUGGUGAAGGACCGAACCCGUGUAAAGUGCAAAUUGCUGGGAUGAGCUGUGGGUAGAGGUAAAAUGCCAAUCGAACCCGGAGAUAGCUGGUUCUCUCCGAAAUGUAUUUAGGUACAGCGUUAAAUUAGUCUUAGGGAGGUAGAGCACUGGAUGGAUAAGGGGGCGUAAGCCUACCAAGUUCAACCAAACUCCGAAUGCCUUAAGAUGAUGUUUAGCAGUGAGACCGUGGGGGAUAAGCUCCAUUGUCAAAAGGGAAACAGCCCAGAUCACAAGCUAAGGUCCCUAAGUCUGAACUAAGUGGGAAAGGAAGUUAGAAUCCACAAACAGCCAGGAGGUUGGCUUAGAAGCAGCCACCCUUUAAAGAAAGCGUAAUAGCUCACUGGUCGAGGUUUUUAGCGCCUAAAAUGUAACGGGGCUAAAGUUCAGCACCGAAGCUGUGAGUUUCUUAUUUUUAAUAAGAAGCGGUAGGAGAGCGUUGUCAGUGCACUGAAUCUGAAAUGUGAGUUUUGGUGGAGCGCUGAGAAGUGAGAAUGCAGGCAUGAGUAGCGACAAUCGUGGUGAGAAUCCACGACACCGGAAGCCCAAGGUUUCCUACGCAAUGUUGAUCAUCGUAGGGUUAGUCGGGCCUAAGUGGUAGCGUAUAGCGAACACGAUGGACAUCGGGUCAAAAUUCCCGAACCGUUCAUGUUGUGUUUAAAAUAAAGGGGGGACGCAAGAAGGUAAGUAAAGCAUACCUAUUGGACAUGGUAUGUUUGUUUUUGUAGAUGAUGACCAGAUAGGUAAAUCCGUCUGGUAUUUUAGUUGAGGAAAACAAAAACUAGAGAGCUUAGCUCAAAGGAAUUUUGCUGAUCCUAUGUUGCCAAGAAAAUCCUCGUUAUUAAUAACAUGAGCGACCGUACCGCAAACCGACACAGGUAGGCAGGGAUAAACGUCCCAAGGUGAACGAAAGAACCUUCGUUAAGGAACUCGACAGAUUGACCCCGUAACUUAGGGAGAAGGGGUGCCUGUUAUUUGAUACUGAUUUACUUAGUAAAGGGUAAUAGGCCGCAGUGAAUCGGUCCAAGCGACUGUUUAUCAAAAACAUAGGUCUAUGCUAAAGCGAAAGCUGAUGUAUAUGGGCUGACGCCUGCCCAGUGCCGGAAGGUUAAGAGGAGAGGUUAGGAUUUAUCCAAAGCUUUGAAUUGAAGCCCCGGUGAACGGCGGCCGUAACUAUAACGGUCCUAAGGUAGCGAAAUCCCUUGUCAGGUAAGUUCUGACCCGCACGAAUGGCGUAACGACUUGGACAUUGUCUCAACGAAGGACUCGGUGAAAUUGCAGGACCAGUGAAGAUGCUGGUUACCUACGACAGGACAAAAAGACCCCGUGGAGCUUUACUGCAGCUUGGCAGUGAUUUAGGCUUAUAAACAUGUAGGAUAGGCGGGAGACUUUGAAACUUUAACGCUAGUUAGAGUGGAGUCGCCCUUGAAAUACCGCCUUUUUAUAAUCUUGGAUCUAACUUUAUUUUAUUAUGAAGGACCCUGCCUGGUGGGCAGUUUGACUGGGGCGGUCGCCU
RNAcentral lists this ribosomal RNA (1734 nucleotides) under marine metagenome. RNAcentral's name for it is "bacterial LSU rRNA". It matches the Rfam family "Bacterial large subunit ribosomal RNA", at positions 583 to 2288 of the family's 2925-position model. The record is from RNAcentral.